GACCGCGUGGCCUAAUGGAUAAGGCGCUCGCCUCCGGAGCGGGAGAUUCUGGGUUCGAGUCCCAACCUAUUCU
Molecule: transfer RNA, 73 nt
Filed under: Hordeum vulgare
Lineage: Eukaryota; Viridiplantae; Streptophyta; Magnoliopsida; Poales; Poaceae
Description: tRNA-OTHER
Rfam family: tRNA
About the family: Transfer RNA (tRNA) molecules are approximately 80 nucleotides in length.
Source: RNAcentral